AGCAUGGCCCCUCCACCUCCUCCAGAGGGGGAUGCCGGCUCCCACUGAGCUCAGGGUCAUUAAGGCAGGAGCUGUCGCUGCUUUUUUCCAAGAGAAGAAGGUGGAGUUCAUCUUUUCACUUCAGAGAGACAUUGCAAAGAGCUGCCCACUAGAACUUCCGGGGUUACCAGCUAGAACUUCCGGGGUCGCCAGCCAGUGUGAGACCCUUUCUGACCAACUCAGGAGAGGGAAUUAUGUUCAUCCUAUAACUCAAAAUGCAACCGGAAGUGAACUGCGUCACUUGUAGCAUUUCACAGCUGGGUUGCCCAAGGUUCUUCAAAGUGUGGUGAAUGUUUUGGAACUGCUGUUGGCUCCCCAAAGACACAGGAGCUGCACACUCUAGGAGUCUUGGACCUGGCACAGCUGUAGUGCGAGCCGCCCCUCGACGUCACGGUCACAGACUUCAUGGACCACUCAGAAGUGCUACUGCUACCCCUCCACCCCCAGCCCCAGCUCGGAUCCAGCAAGCCAGAGCCCAGUCCCGAAGCACGGGUGGCGGAGCUAGUCUCCAGGCAAGGAUCCCUCCAUGCUUCCGCUGCGGCCGUCGCCCCCGCCCUGGCGGCGUGAUCCUCCUACCUGCCUGUCCCGAAGCGACCAGCAGAAGUAUCAGCGGGGGCAGCAGCCCCGGCAGCGAGGGGCAGCUGGGCGCCAGGGUCCCGGGAGCGCGCAUGGGCAAUCAGCUCCGGUCACAUCUCGGGGAACGCGGCGUGACCUCUGCAGCGCUCCUCUCCAGCGGGAUUGAGGGCGAUGGGUCCAGAGGCAGCCGAUCACACACGGCUUCCCCGCAAGGUGUCCCUGUACGCAAGGACAACUUCCUGGGUUUCAGUUCCGAAUCCGCAGGCUUCAAGGACUGAUGGAGAUCGAAGCAGUGUUCAUCAGAGGGACGGGCCCAUCCACGCUUAGAGGAGUCAGCGACACAGGUGAAAGUGACCCUCAAAGGAGUGCCGAUUGCCUGACUCUGCCUGUGGUUGACUCCAGGAUUCAUGAACACCACCUCGGGAGAGCUCCUCGACCCCAGAGACACCGCCACCCUCGAGGAGGAGGCUGCCUGCUAUUCUAAGCCUGCUCCCCCUUCCCUUAUGGGCCAAAGUCGUUUAUGGUGGGUGCACACAGCGACUCCCAUGAAAGAUGGAUCACCCUGACUGCAGGCCAGACUCCACUGAUGCCUGGAUGCAGUCUUUCUGCGGUUUGCCUCACCUUGGACGGCUAGCAGCCAACUCAAACAAAAUGGCCAAGAGAAUUCCAGAUCCUGACAGUGACCCAAAAUCUCCAAAAGAAGAUUACAGGACACCUCGAUGUCUAUACAACGCUGACCAGGGGGCAGAAUGCCCCAAUGGACACCUGCUGCCAGGACCUGGCCCAGACUGUGCACAAGUGACAGGACAUUGGGGAACUGAUUGUACCCCUUUUGCCUAGACAAAAUAAGAUGCAUUGGAGCAUCGGUUGCUGACUACAGACUGAUCCUAAAGACUAAGAGCUCUAGACUUGCUGUGGAUAUAAACCAGUCCAGCCCAAGUGAACGCUCCCUGUUUCUUCAACAGAGUCUGCCAACAAGAUGCUUCAGAUAAAUCCCAUUCUCAGAAACAGACAGACUCGCAUAGAACUGGUAUUUCUUGGAAAGCAGUUUUGGGAAAGACAGAACACUGGCUCACCAAGUUUAUUCUCGUGUAUCAAUGGAGAGCAGCAAAAUCUUCCUUUACAUGUAGCAUGGCAGAAGAAAUAGUGGUCAGUGAUUAAGAUGUCACCAUCAGCCACAGAUAGGUAAGUUCACAAGGACAAAGUCAUUGAGAGUUGUCGGUCACUAUGAUUUCACACAGCAUGGUGAAGAUGGCUUCUUGUGAGACAAAGAAUGACCUUGAAUCCUGAUCCUCCUGCCUCCACUUCCUAGUGCUAGGAUUGCAGGUAUGCACCACUAUGACCAGAGUUUGUUGAUGGAAUGGAGAGAGUGUCACAUGCUAAGUAAACAUAUCCUAACCGAUCUACAUACCCAGUGCUCUGGUGAAGUUUUUGUACAUACCAUGAGAUUUGGCAGUAGAAAUUCACUACAGGCUCUUUCAGGACCAGUUAUGUAAUGACAGAACUGUUUGAAUUUCAUCCUUUCUGUCCUAUGAAGUCGCUGUGAAAAAAUUCCUUUAAUUUUCAUUUGCUUUGAUUCUCGUGAGCUCGUACUAUUUCCAGUCUUCUCUUUCAGGGAAGGGGUGACCAGGUAAAGAUGUAGUUUUGGUGGAGAUGAGUAAAAGUAGAAUGUGACAGAAUGCUGUGUGAUUUCACAGCUUUGUAAAACACAUGGACCAGUCCGAAUUGACCUGCAGAGAUUUCCUUCUGUCCAUUUUAAUAUCGCUUUCCUAAUGGUCCUAGCUGCUUUGUUCAGGGGGAUUUUAUAAUGUCUUUUCAGGUGCUAACACACUUUGGAAUUCCUAGCCUACUUCUUUAUCAUAAUUUGUGAUAGAUGUUAAAGGUAUAUGUAGUUAUACUUUUUUCUUACAGUGAUAACUGAAGAUUUUUAUUAAUUACUUUCCUUUUGGAAGCUAGGUUCAUAAAUCUACCUUCAUCAUCACUGUUUAACUUGUUGGCUAAACAGUAAAAAAUAUUUUUAGGAGAUGGAGAUGUUUUUCAGAGUGAUGGAUUCUUUUUUAAUUAAAAAGGGGUUCAAGUUCAUGCCCUAGAGGAGAGAGAAAAGAUUUCUGAGACUGUAGAGUUAUAAGGAAUAGGUUUUAACUGGCAUGCUAUAAUUUAAACUAAAAUUUUCUUUAUUUUUACUUAUGUAUCUUUAUCCCUGUGUGUAUGACACCUGUAUGCAUGUUCCUAAAGAGGUCAGAAGAAUGUGUUGGAUCUCCUGGAGCUGGAAUUACAGGCAACUGUGAGCUACUUCUCAUGGGUGCUAAAAAUCAAACUUGGGUCAUCUGGAAGAACAGCAGUCAUUCUUGAAUAUUGAGCCAUCUCUCCAGUCCCAUAAAGCCAUCUUUAAGUACUACUAAAUCAAAAGCUUUCAGUUAUAAUAUUGUUAUAAAGAAAUGUAGAUCCAUUUA
Molecule: long non-coding RNA, 3068 nt
Organism: Mesocricetus auratus (golden hamster)
Lineage: Eukaryota; Metazoa; Chordata; Mammalia; Rodentia; Cricetidae
Exons: 9
Source: RefSeq, a predicted model, not a curated record